GCUUAGAAGACAAGCACUGAGUAAAAUGCUCCCAGUCCCAGGGUGGAAGGGCAAGAAGUAAGCUUCUGCCUUUAUAUCUUCAUUACAACUCCUGUAGGAUUCACCAUGACCUCCAUUAAUGAGGUCCUUUAUUUCAGGGGUCAGCAAGCCUCAGCCCACUGCCUGUUUCUGUAAAUAAAGUUUUAUUGGGACACAGCCACAUUCGUUCAUUUACGUGUUAUUUAUGGCUGCGUUUAACUCUACAGCUGGAGCUCAGUAGUGGUAAUGGACCGUAUGGUCUGCAGAGCCUGAAAUGUAUUCUCUCUGGCCCUUUACAGAGGACAGUUGCCUACCCCAGCUUUAUGUUAUAAAUAGAUGACUAACUUUGAGUUGUUUGUCCAUGAGAAUCACCAUUUGCACCACCCCGUGAAGUUUUUGAAAUGAACGCCCCAUGUUUUUCAUGGGGCAUAUUUGCAAGAUGACUUUCUGGAACCAGUGGUAUGGUCUGGGAUUCAGGCUCUGAAAACACACUCUGACCAUCUGAGCUGCUUUUGA
Phyllostomus discolor (pale spear-nosed bat) is the source of this 534-nucleotide long non-coding RNA. RefSeq lists it as uncharacterized. Lineage: Eukaryota; Metazoa; Chordata; Mammalia; Chiroptera; Phyllostomidae. The record is from RefSeq and is a predicted model, not a curated record. The transcript is spliced from 3 exons.